This is a long non-coding RNA of Thalassophryne amazonica, 1325 nucleotides long. RefSeq lists it as uncharacterized. NCBI's taxonomy places the organism in Eukaryota, Metazoa, Chordata, Actinopteri, Batrachoidiformes, Batrachoididae. The transcript has 2 exons. The record is from RefSeq and is a predicted model, not a curated record.
UGUGUGUGUGUGUGUGUGUGUGUGUGUGUGUGUGUGUGUGUGUUUCCAUUAAAGAUAUAGUGCAACUGGGUUUUUAAGAUUUAAGUUAUAAAAAUAAUUUACUUCAGCACCACUAUCAUUCCUUAGCAUUUAGAUAAGGGAUUCAUAAAAAGGUGUUGCCAAUAUGAUCAAAAUUCAUGCUGCCUGGAAACAAUUUAUAAUUUCAACACCUGAGGGGGAGAAAUUCAAGGGAUCGAAUGCUAUGACAACAUUUGGUAGAUCUGAAAGUGAUUUACAAGAAAUCUUAAGAAUGCUAAUGCAAGAUGGGUCACAGGUAAUCUCAAAACCUCACGCAUGCACAUACACACGCUUCCUCCUGUAGUUAGUCAGCAUGACAGCAAUGAAGGAAAAGACUAUUCACUAUGAAAUUUCCCACCAGAUAAAUAUGUCCUCUUUAUUAAAAUGAGCUGUAAUUUUGCAACAUGUUAGAAAAUAAACCUACAUAUAUUCACUGUUAGAAUGGUCUCUCACUGCCAGAUUGUUUGGGUUUAUCUUCCUCUUUCGUGUUUAUAUUCCCAUAGGAGGUUACAGGCAGAGAGGUGCUAUGCAGGUAACUUUUUCAUUAUUUUUUCAUCUCUUUUACAGACUUUUGUUGGCGUCUUGGAUUUGUUCAUCUCGUGUGAUAAUUUUUUGUGUACUCACCUACUGCUUGUACUUUGGAUAUCCUACUUUCUACUCCCUCAGAAAGACUGUUGCCUGUUGCACUGAUCAUCCAUGUGCCUGACCUCUGCCUGCUUCAUGAAAGCCCACUUUCCUGCUGAUACAAACUCUGCUAAAAACUGUGCACAUGGUAAUUUGGUUUGUUGUUGCCAUUGUUGUGGUUCUCUGCAUAGGGUCCUCUGCCUAAACCAUUACACACUGGAGUGUGCUUGUGGUAGCGAAAUGAACAUUCAGUUCAUGGCCAACAACUCUGGUGGACAUUUCUGCAUUUAGCAUGUCGAUUAUAUGCUGUCUCUCUCUCUCCAAAUGACAUCUGUGGCUUUGUGUUGUUUGAUAAAACUGCAAAUGUUAGAGUUGGAUUUUGCUGUGAACAGUCCAAGGAACCCGUGUGCAAUAAUCAUGCCGUUUAAUCAGGAUCUUAAUAUGUCACACACAGGUGGAUGGAUUACUGUAUCUUAGCAAUGGUCAAGAGCUCAAUAACAGGUUUUAACAAAUUAAUUGACAAAAUUUGAGAGAAAUAUUUUUUGUUGGUGGUGGUGAACAGAAGACAUUUUACAUAUUUUCUUCAGUGCAUGGAAAAUGGGAAUAAAAUAAAAGUGUUGCAUUUAUAGUUUCGUCGAGUAUAG